This 492-nucleotide ribosomal RNA is filed under the name uncultured bacterium. RNAcentral's name for it is "partial 16S ribosomal RNA". It matches the Rfam family "Bacterial small subunit ribosomal RNA", at positions 29 to 507 of the family's 1533-position model. The record is from RNAcentral.
AGUGAACGCUGGCGGUAGGCCUAACACAUGCCAGUCGAACGGCAGCACAGUAAGAGCUUGCUCUUACGGGUGGCGAGUGGCGGACGGGUGAGGAAUACAUCGGAAUCUACUUUUUCGUGGGGGAUAACGUAGGGAAACUUACGCUAAUACCGCAUACGACCUACGGGUGAAAGCAGGGGAUCUUCGGACCUUGCGCGAUUGAAUGAGCCGAUGUCGGAUUAGCUAGUUGGCGGGGUAAAGGCCCACCAAGGCGACGAUCCGUAGCUGGUCUGAGAGGAUGAUCAGCCACACUGGAACUGAGACACGGCCCAGACUCCUACGGGAGGCAGCAGUGGGGAAUAUUGGACAAUGGGCGCAAGCCUGAUCCAGCCAUACCGCGUGGGUGAAGAAGGCCUUCGGGUUGUAAAGCCCUUUUGUAGGGAAAGAAAAGCAGCAGGUUAAUACCCCGCUGUUCUGACGGUACCCAAAGAAUAAGCACCGGCUAACUUCGUG